CCUACGGGAGGUAGCAGUGAGGAAUAUUGGUCAAUGGACGAGAGUCUGAACCAGCCAAGUAGCGUGAAGGAUGACUGCCCUAUGGGUUGUAAACUUCUUUUAUAUGGGAAUAAAAUGUUCCACGUGUGGGAUGUUGUAUGUACCAUAUGAAUAAGGAUCGGCUAACUCCGUGCCAGCAGCCGCGGUAAUACGGAGGAUCCGAGCGUUAUCCGGAUUUAUUGGGUUUAAAGGGAGCGUAGGUGGAUUGUUAAGUCAGUUGUGAAAGUUUGCGGCUCAACCGUAAAAUUGCAGUUGAAACUGGCAGUCUUGAGUACAGUAGAGGUGGGCGGAAGUCGUGGUGUAGCGGUGAAAUGCUUAGAUAUCACGAAGAACUCCGAUUGCGAAGGCAGCUCACGGGACUGCAACUGACACUGAGGCUCGAAAGUGUGGGUAUCAAACAGGAUUAGAUACCCGGGUAGUC
Molecule: ribosomal RNA, 460 nt
Filed under: uncultured bacterium
Lineage: Bacteria
Description: partial 16S ribosomal RNA
Rfam family: Bacterial small subunit ribosomal RNA
Source: RNAcentral